CGGGCUGUAGCGCAGCCUGGUAGCGCACCUGCUUCGGGAGCAGGGGUCGGAGGUUCGAAUCCUCUCAGCCCGACCA
RNAcentral lists this transfer RNA (76 nucleotides) under Sulfitobacter faviae. RNAcentral describes it as "tRNA-Pro". It matches the Rfam family "tRNA". From Rfam's summary of the family: Transfer RNA (tRNA) molecules are approximately 80 nucleotides in length. The record is from RNAcentral. Lineage: Bacteria; Pseudomonadati; Pseudomonadota; Alphaproteobacteria; Rhodobacterales; Roseobacteraceae.